AGACCCCGGGGUGCACUGAAACUGGUGCUGAGAGUGCGGAGAUGCCGCAGACCCGAUUCACCUGAUCCAGAUCAUGCUGGCGUAGGGAGAGGUCCGA
This 97-nucleotide non-coding RNA is filed under the name uncultured Enteractinococcus sp. RNAcentral's name for it is "TPP riboswitch (THI element)". It matches the Rfam family "TPP riboswitch aptamer (THI element)", at positions 6 to 96 of the family's 105-position model. From Rfam's summary of the family: Vitamin B(1) in its active form thiamin pyrophosphate (TPP) is an essential coenzyme that is synthesised by coupling of pyrimidine and thiazole moieties in bacteria. The previously detected thiamin-regulatory element, thi box was extended, resulting in a new, highly conserved RNA secondary structure, the THI element, which is widely distributed in eubacteria and also occurs in some archaea. Analysis of operon structures identified a large number of new candidate thiamin-regulated genes, mostly transporters, in various prokaryotic organisms. Lineage: Bacteria; Bacillati; Actinomycetota; Actinomycetes; Micrococcales; Micrococcaceae. The record is from RNAcentral.